This 429-nucleotide ribosomal RNA is filed under the name Chloroflexota bacterium. RNAcentral describes it as "Chloroflexi bacterium partial 16S ribosomal RNA". It matches the Rfam family "Bacterial small subunit ribosomal RNA", at positions 355 to 776 of the family's 1533-position model. Lineage: Bacteria; Bacillati; Chloroflexota. The record is from RNAcentral.
UGGGGAAUAUUGCACAAUGGGCGCAAGCCUGAUGCAGCCAUGCCGCGUGUAUGAAGAAGGCCUUCGGGUUGUAAAUUACUUUUAGCGGGGAGGAAGGGAGUAAAGUUAAUACCUUUGCUCAUUGACGUUACCCGCAGAAGAAGCACCGGCUAACUCCGUGCCAGCAGCCGCGGUAAUACGGAGGGUGCAAGCGUUAAUCGGAAUUACUGGGCGUAAAGCGCACGCAGGCGGUUUGUUAAGUCAGAUGUGAAAUCCCCGGGCUCAACCUGGGAACUGCAUCUGAUACUGGCAAGCUUGAGUCUCGUAGAGGGAGGUAGAAUUCCAGGUGUAGCGGUGAAAUGCGUAGAGAUCUGGAGGAAUACCGGUGGCGAAGGCGGCCCCCUGGACGAAGACUGACGCACAGGUGCGAAAGCGGGAGGAGCAAACAGG